Molecule: long non-coding RNA, 9164 nt
Filed under: Solanum tuberosum (potato)
Lineage: Eukaryota; Viridiplantae; Streptophyta; Magnoliopsida; Solanales; Solanaceae
Description: long non-coding RNA (STUB_LNC011909)
Source: RNAcentral
GGGAAGAAAUGUUUUAUGGUAGCAGCAAGGGGACUUGAAAUUGAAUGGGGUGGUACACCAGAGUAUUGGGAAUGGUUAUCUCAUGUGGACUCAAGGUUUUAUAUAUUUGUGAUUCCUUUUUAUUACUAGAAUAAAUUUUGAAAGGAUCUGAACUAUUACUACAUGCCUAUAAUUAUUGAGCAAUGUGAAUUUUUUUUUUAGUUUCGCGGAAGUGGCUAAACUCAAGAGGGUUUGUUGGCUUGAUAUUCGAGGCAAAAUUGAAACUCGAAGACUGUCGAAAAGAACCAAAUAUGUUGUUUAUCUAGUGUUCAAAUUGGAAAAUAAAUGGCAUGGCCUUGAAACUGCUAAUGCAGUCGUUAGAUUUGUUGAUUCUGUGAGUGACAUUGACGCAGAGCAACGAGCUAGUGUUGUACAUUUUGCAGGACAAGGACCUAAAGAGACGCUACCCUUUAGAAGAGGUGAUGGAUGGAUGGAAUUAAAAAUGGGAGAUUUUUUCAAUGAUGCAGGAGAAGACGGAGAUGUAGAUGCACGAUUAAUGGAGACUAAACAUCUCGGUGAUAAAAGUGGCCUCAUUGUUCAAGGAAUGGAGUUUCGUCCCGAAUGAAGAAGAGAAGAAUCCUUCUCUUACUAUGACCUUUUGUUCAAUUAGUACUUUUAUAUAUGGCCUUUCUAAAGGAACGUAUUGAUCGAGAUGAUUGAAUUUGAUUAGAAAAUGCGCGUAAGUGGAAGAAGAAAGCUGAGGAGGCAGUUGCAGAACGCGGUUCGUCAGACAAAAAUAUGAAAGCAUUUGUGGAUGAACUGAAAAAAAUCCAUGCCAAGAAACAAGUAGAAAAUGUCUAGUUUUGUUUAACUACAUUCAUUUCAAGUGUAUAAUUCAAUCUAUGGGAUGUAAAUCGAGUAUGUUGUUGUUGUUUUUCUGCUUUCUAUAGCACGUUUCUACUAUUUGUUUAUAUAGCAUGUGAACUCUAACAAAUGGAAAGUGCCUGUUUCAAGAAAGCGGUCGUUCACGUCAAGAAUAGAGGUCUGUACUUUCUUUUCCUUUUGUUCAUCUAGAUUGUGUUGGUGUUCAAUGUACCACUUGUCUAGUCUGAUCUAUGCGAUCCUACAUAGAGUACAAGAUCGAAAAGAAUGCAUUGAAUGGAUGUCUGGUUAUAUGUUUGAAUAUAAAAUUAUAUGGAUAAGCAUCUCUUUAAAUUAGAAAUAAACAACAUCUAGUAGCUCUUAGGCAUAAGAUGUUCCUCAUCAGCUGACACAAAAGAUUUUCAAGGAAACAUACUUAUCUAGACGAGGUCAAUGGUCGAUCAAAAAGGCUCAACGACCUAGGCUAGUGACCUUCAUUGCACUUUGAAGGAGCAUCCAACUAAAGUAUGCCCAAGUGGUCGAGUCUAUAUCAUAAUUUGUGGUCAAGUUUUAUAAAAUUAAAUAAGUAGACAUAUAUACGCGUUCUACGUGACAAUCUACGUCGUAUGUGGCAUCUUACGUACAUCAUGUCGCGUGGGAUGCAUGUGUCUACUUUUUCAACUUCAUACAAGUUUUAAGUACCUACUUGUGCACUUCCAAAAUUGAAGAAUAUAAAUAUCAGCUAAGAUCAAGUUAAAAGACAUGCUUAUGUAUUAUAUUAAUAUUAUAUCUACAAAUAAUACAAUACAAUAAAAAAAAAAUAAUUAAAGUCAAUGAUCCAAAUAGAGUUUGUUUAGAAGUAACUACUUAUGAUUGUGACAUAACUAAAACUAUCUGAUCAAGUUGGCGAAAAGUUAAAUUAAUAAUCAAUUAACUAAAAGACCGAAUCAAAUUGAGUGACAAAAAGUCAAAUAAACCGACUUUUAAUAUGAAUAUUUUUACCUAUUGUUUCGUAAUGUAUGAUAAUGAAUUGUAUUAUUUUAAGCCAAGUCAUGCAUAAGAUAAGUAUAAAAAAAAUCAAAAUUAAUACAUAUUGUAUUUUCUUUAGUACUUUUUACCUAACGACCCUUGAAGUUGUUGAAAAUUUGGAAGACUUGAUGCUGCAGAGCCAAUAAUCCCGAGGUAAUAAAGUCUUUUAAGAUUGAAGCGAAGUUUGUUUGGUAGCUAAUUAGAGUUAUACAAGUAUUAGUUAUAUAUGAAUAAGUUAGGAGAGAAUCUAUAUAUUAUUUUAUACAAAGUAUAGUUAUUCAUGAAUCAUAUAUUGAUUAUUAAUAUUGUGCUUUUUCCACAUUCUAAAAACCCUACAUAAAAUAAUACAUACGUUUCCUCAUAACUUAUGCAUUUAUUAAUUAUGCAGAUUUUCAAAUUUUAAAUCAAAUAGUAUCAUAGUAACCUAAGAUCUAAUACACGCGUAACGACACUUAUGACUUUUCUUCACCUUCUUGGCAAGGGAUAAGUCAAAAGUCUUCUUAAAUUACUUGUUUUUAGUACGUACUCUUUAUUUUCUCUCAUUAAUUUUUUUGAAAAAAAAAGUAGGGUACAUUUUUUAUGAUUUCAAUGAGGAACAUGAUAAGAAGUUACCAUAAAGACUAUGAAUAAAUAGUGAAAAAAGGUGGUGUCUUGUUCUUCAUUAAGUCUUUAGCAAUUAUAACUUAUAUUCAUCAACAAUAAUGUCACACACUUUUUCUUCUGAAAUUCACAAGUACGAUGCAUUUCUGAGUUUUAGAGGUGAAGAUACACGAAAAACAUUCGUGAGUCAUCUCUAUAACGCUUUAAUACAAGGAAGAAUUGAUGUUUUCAAAGACGAUGAGCGUCUAGAAACCGGAAAUUCAAUUUCUGAUGAACUGCCAAAAGCCAUAGAAGAGUCUAAAUUUGCUAUAGUGAUAUUUUCUGAAAGCUAUGCAUCGUCAAAAUGGUGUUUAGACGAGCUUGCACACAUCAUAAAGUGUCGAAAGGAAUUGAAACAAAUCGUAAUUCCUAUUUUCUAUAAUGUGGAUCCAUCAGAUGUGCGUCAUCAAACUCAAACUUUUGCUGAGUCUUUUUCCCAACAUGAGGAAAAAUACAAAGACGAUAUGGAGAAGAUUCAAAGAUGGAGGGAUGCAUUUGCGGAGUCUGGGAAAAUAUCAGGGUAUCAUUUGCAAAACUACAAGUAAGAUUACUUUUCUUUGUCUUAUUAACUGCUAAGUCAAACAUGUCAUAUAAACGGAGUCAGAGAGAAUAUUUAAUUUGAUUUCUAAAGUUCGAUGUAAAUAGUUGUUCUUUUCAUUGUUACAUUUAGGGAUGAGGCAGAUUGCAUCAAAAAGGUUGUUGAAAGACUAAUGUCAGUAUUACAUAUUGAAUCCGAUGACGAUGGUGUCCGUGCCUUCAUACGGGGCAUGGACAAUAACUCUCCAAUUCUUAUUGAUGGAGGCAAAAUGGUAUUAUUUCUUUUAUAAUUUGAAUCCUUUUAGUGAAAUUUGAUAGAUAUCUAUCUUAUCACGUCCAUUAAUUAAGUACCUAGUUGUUAGUUUCAAAAUUGUGUUAGUUGACCCUUGAAAAUAUUGUUUCAAUUAUCAAUACAAAAUCCUAUUUAGUAAGUAAUAUAAUGAUCAAUAGUCUUUAAAAUACCAAAUAAUAUGUAUACAUGUUUUUUUUAUAAAUGAUUAAUUCACACUUGACAUAUGUCCAUAACUAAAAUUACAUAUGCAAUUAUAGUUUUAUUCUUUUACUGCGUUAUUUUCGUAAAUACUAGAAUUUAGAUUAAUAAAUAACUAAUUGUCAAUGAAAAGGACCAAUGUCUAUGUGUACCGUGUUACAUGUAUGGGUGAAACUGUGGAAGUCAUGUCAAGUGGGCAGGGUCAGUCCAUGACCGAUCCAACCCGACCUGAUAAGAAAGGGCCAAUGACUAGGCUGCCCCAUUCAUAAGGGUUGUUGGGUGGUCAGGGUCCAGACACAGGCCAACUACUAGCUUGGCCCAUUCAUUAUGAUUGUUGAGUGGUCUCUAUAGGACCUUUUUCGAUUUGUUUUCUAAUUUAUGAUGUCCUAUGUUUGUUAUUUGUCUUGUCAAUCAGAGUUUUUCGUUAGAUAAGAAGAGGAAGAAAUGUUUUAUGAUAGCAGCAAGGGAACUUGAUAUUGAAUGGAGUCAUAAACCAAAGUAUUGGAAAUGGUUAUCUCACUCUGACUCCAGGUUUUAUAUAUUCGCAGUCCCUUUCCAUAUUUUAGUAUAAAAUUGGAAAGAAAUCAGUAAUAAUUAUUGAGCAAGGUUAAUUUUUUUUUUGUAGAUUCGCGGAAGUGGCUAAACUCAAGAAGGUCUAUUGGCUUGAAAUUCAAGGCAAAAUUGAUUCUCGAAGACUGUCAAAAAGAACCAAAUAUGUUGCUUAUCUAGUGUUCAAAUUGGAAAAUCAAUUCUAUGGCCUUGAAACUGUUAAUGCAGUUGUAAGAUUUGUUGAUUCUAUGAGUAAAAAAGAUGCGGAGAAACGAGCUAGUGUUGUGCAUUUUGCAGGACGAGGACCUAGAGAAACGCUACCCUUCGAAAGAGCUGAUGGAUGGAUGGAAUUAAAAAUGGGAGACUUUUUCAAUGAUGCAGGAGAAGACGGAUAUGUUGAUGCGCGAUUAAUGGAAACUAAGAAACUCGAUGAAAAAAAGGGCCUCAUUGUUCAAGGAGUGGAGUUUCGUCCCGAAUGAAGAAGAGAAGAAUCCUCCUCUAACUAUGCCCUUUUGUUUUGGUUUCAUUUUGAUAUUGAGGGGUGCUUACCAUCCGAGCAACUCCCUCUCGUCAAACAUUUUAAUAUGAUUCUACAAGUUUUACUUUUUUUACAGUCCAAAAGAGGCGCUACAUUUUUGUUUUAGAAGAGAGUAUAACAACAUUAUGAGUAUCUAUUUCUUCCCAAGUAACUUAAAACAAAUCAAAGUUUAAAUACUACGAUCUUUCCAUCUCAAAUUAUUUGUCAUGAUUUUUUAAAAUAAUCAUCUCGACUUUUUUGUCAUUUUAGAAGUUCAAGAUAAAAUUAAUUAUUUAUUUCAUAUUUUAGCUAGAGAGUAGUAAUAUUCUUGAAACUACAAGCACUUCAAUACAUAAGUAGAGAAAAUAUUCAAUUUAAAGAGAUUAUAUAAAUAAGUAGAGAAAUUGUAUUUGAUUGCGUAGGCGGGCAUUAUUUAUGGGAGGGUGCCCACCUAGUGUCAUUGUGCAUGUAUGAGAUCUCGCACAAGUAAUAUCAUAUUUGAUGACUUGAAAUACGAAGAUGAUAAGAAGUUCCCAUAAAGACUAUGAAUAGUUUUUACGAUGCUUUUCUGAGUUUAGAGGUGAAGAUACGCGUAGAACAAUAGUUUUAACAAUCCUAAUUAAAUAUUAAUAUGGUCAUCUUCAAACUUUUACAUUGACAUUGGAUACAACACAACUCCAAUUAAUUGGUCCAUAUUGAAGAUAUCCAUUACUAGGCCUACCGAUUUAAUAGUACUAGAGAAAUUCCAUCCUCAAAUUUGGUGGAAAAUAUCAAACAUUAAGCUUUCAAUGUCAUAACAACUUAGAGUAAUUAAUUAAUAAUCUUAUCAGAUUACCAUAAUAUUUUGUUAUUCAAUAGUACUAUAUAUUUAGUUUAGUUUCUAACGUAAUAACUAAAAUAGGGGACCUUUGUAAUUUUGUAUCGUGACACCUUUAUCUAGACGAUAUGUUAUUUGUCUCUGAUUGAGCCUGAUAUAUGCUAAGGCAAAAUUUUCAUCAGAAAUUUUAUCAUUUACUAUAUUUGAAAUCGAUGAUAUUGUAUCUAUACGUCGCAAUAGACGAUGGUUUAAUUAUUAGUCCAAAAAAAAUCAUCGUUUAGUGUAUUGCACACCAAUUUUUCAGCCCAGCAGACUCUUUUAGAGAAAAACUUCAUUCCUUUUUAGUUGUCAUGAUUUUCUUUUUUAGAUUCAAAUGAUAAGAAUUUUGACUAACAAUUUACGAUGUAUUUUUUAUCAUAUUGAUAUGCAAAAAAUUGUAAUUUAUAGUAAUUUUCGUAUAGUUUUUGAAUAUCUAAAAUUUUAAUUUAAAAUAUCGAAUUAAUAUAAUCUAAUUUAACUUUGAAAAUUAGUCAAAUUAUCUUUCGGAAAGCGCAACAUUACAACGAAAAAGGAAUGGAGGCCGAGUAUCAAAUAUAUGGUAUUACUUAAUUGUGCGAGAUCUAAUAUACGAUGACGUACACUUAGAGGUCGUUUGAUAGGGUGUAUAAAAAUAAUGUUAAAUAGAGUAUUAGUUAUGCUUGUAUUCACUAUACAUAAAUUAUUUUUUAUGCAUUGUUUGGUUUGGUGUACAAAAAAUAACAUGAAUUGCAUAAAAAAUUUCAUUUAUAAAAAUAUCCUCCACAAUUAUGAUGGAAAAGAUGUAAAAAGGGGUUUUGAGGGGUAAUUGAGGUUGUAACCAUACUAAUACAUGUAUUGAAUCUCUUUGUGUUACUAAUACCUAGAAAUCAAUGAUAUUAGUAAUACACUCUUUCAUACACAAUAAAGUGUAUAACUAAUGCAUGCAAACAAGAUACUAUUAAUACACAGAGUUAAUGCGUGCAUUAUUUUUGCUAAUACACUCCACUGACACCUCAAGAUUUUUCUUGGCUUUUUUCGCCAAGGUCUAAGUCAAAAGUCUUCUUACCUGUAUUUUGUACGACCUCACUAAUGAAAAAGUAGGUUACAUUUUCAUGACUUUGAAAUAGAAUUAUAGAAACAUGAUAAGACCAUAAAGACUAUGAAUAAAUAGUGAAAAAAUUAGGUAAAGUGUUGUUCUUCAUUAAGUUGAGAAUUUCCCUAUUAGUUUUUAGCAAUUGUAACUAAUACUCUUCAACAAUGUCAAACACUUCUUCUUCCAAAAUUCAAAAGUACGAUGCUUUUCUGAGUUUUAGAGGUGUAGAUAUACGUAGAACAUUUGUGAGUCAUCUCCAUAACGCUUUAAUACAAGGAGGAAUUAAUGUUUUCAAAGACGAUGAACGUCUAGAAACUGGAAAAUUAAUUUCUGAUGAACUACCAAAAGCCAUAGAAGAGUCUAAAUUUGCUAUAGUGAUAUUUUCUGAAAGCUAUGCAUCGUCAAAAUGGUGUUUAGACGAGCUUGCACACAUCAUAAAGUGUCGAAAGGAAUUGGAUCAAAUCGUAAUUCCUAUUUUCUAUAAUGUGGAUCCAUCAGAUGUGCGUCAUCAAACUCAAACUUUUGCUGAGUCUUUUACCAAACAUGAGGAAAAAUAUAAAGAUGAUAUGGAGAAAAUUCAAAGAUGGAGGGAUGCAUUUGCUGAGUCUGGGAAAAUAGUAGGGCACCAUUUGCAAAAUUACAAGUAAGAUUAUUUUUCUUUUUCUCUUUAUUCCCCCUCCGUAACAAUAUAGAUCUCUUAAUUUGAUUGGACACGGAAUUUUUUUAAAAAAAUAAAGAGAAAUUUUGUGGUUUUAAACUUGUCGUGUAGAUUGUUGGAAUUGAAAAACACACUAAAUAUAGAAAGAGAAUCUCUUAUGGACAAAUCAAAAAGGAAAGUAAGACACUUAGCUUGCGUUUAGACAUGCCAUAUGAAGUCCUAAUUUCAAAUCAAUGUUUGGGCAUGUGUUUGGAAUCCCAAAUUUUCCAUAUAAAAAAAACAUGAUUUGAGAUUCCAAAUCAUGUUUUUGGAGAAUGAUUUCAGAUUCUAAUCUCAAAAUCUCAUAUUCAAAUAUUGAUUUGAAAUCGUGACUUCAUAUCGUAUAUCCGUAUGCAAACUUAAAUUAGAAUAUAUAUAAGGAAUAGUAUUUUUCGAGCUUUGCCUUCUUGGGUGAUUCAAGAAACAUAUUGUUUUAUUGUUGUGCAAAAAUAAUUAAAAUUAAUAAAAUAAGGUAUAUAUAAUAUCAUAAAGAGAGUAUACCCUAAAUAUAAAUUCUAUAAUCUUGUAUUCUCUUUAUGCCUUAUGUGACAUAAUCCAUUCAAAAAAAAAUAUCACUUUUAUAUUAAUAGAAGGAAUUUAACUUUAAAUUUUCUUUUGUACCCUUAAUCAAAUGAUCAUUUACAACUCCACACAAGUGUGUAAGGUUCUUUUUAGAUCAUAAAUUUCAAAUUUUGUUCUUUUCUUUCUUAAAUUUUAUGUCAAAUCAAAUGAUAUCACAUAAAUUGAGACAGAAAAAAGUUUGAUUUCUAAAUUUCGAUCUAAAUAAUUGUUCUUUUUAUUGUAACAUUUAGGGAUGAGGCAGAUUGCAUCAAAAAGGUUGUUGACGAACUAAUGUCAUCAUUACAUAUUAAAUCUGAUGACGAUGAUGACGCUAGGGAUCGGGGCGUGGACGCUAAAUCUCCAAUUCUUAUUGAUGAAGGGAAAAUGGUAUUUUUUCUUUUAUAAUUUGAAUUCAUGACUAGCCUUCCCCAUUCAUAAGGGCUGUUAGGUGGCCUGGGCCUGGAACCAGGCCACCAAACAUGUAGUUAAUUAUUGGCAUGAAUACAAAUAAGUCUGACUAAUUGUACAAUGAAAAUGACCCUCAUGGCUAUUGAUGUGUUUUAUGUAUGGUAUAAUGCGCGGCCAGUUGUAGCUAGUCAUGUCAAGUGAGCUGGAUUGGCAUGUGCUGAGCCCAAUCAUACACCAUAAGAAUAUGCCAGACCCGUUACUGGCCUGGCCCAUUCAUAAGGGCUAUUAAGUGGUCUAUAAGACCUUUUUCAAAUUGUUUUAUAAUUUAUAAUGUUUUAUGUUUGUGAUUUGAUAUGUCAAAUAGAGUUUUUCACGAGAUAAGAAGACGGGAAAGAAAUGUUUCAUGAUAGCAGCAAGAGGACUUGAUAUUGAAUGGAGUAAUACACCAGACUAUUGGGAAUGGUUACCUCACUCUGACUCCAGGUUUUAUAUAUUUGCGAUAUCUUUCUAUGUACUAGUAUAAAAUUUGAAAGGAAUUAGUAAUAAUUAUUGAUAAAGGUGAAUUUUUUUUGUAGAUUCGGGGAAGUGGCUAAACUCAAGUGGGUUUGUUGGCUUGAUAUUCGAGGCAAAAUUGAAACUCGAAGACUAUCAAAAAGAACCAAAUAUGUUGCUUAUCUAGUGUUCAAAUUGGAAGAUAAAUUCCAUGGCCUUGAAACCGUUAAUGCAGUUGUUAGAUUUGUUGAUUCUAUGAGUGUAAAGGAAGCGGAACAACGAGCUAGUGUUGUACAUUUUGCAGGACGAGGACCUAGAGAGACACUACCCUUCAAAAGAGGUGAUGGAUGGAUGGAAUUAAAAAUGGGAGACUUUUUCAAUGAUGCAGGAGAAGACGGAGAUGUUGAUGCUCGAUUAAUGGAGACUCAGCGUCUCGAAGCAAAAGGUGGCCUCAUUGUUCAAGGAGUGGAGUUUCGC